RNAcentral lists this ribosomal RNA (253 nucleotides) under uncultured bacterium. Its description in RNAcentral is "partial 16S ribosomal RNA". It matches the Rfam family "Bacterial small subunit ribosomal RNA", at positions 524 to 776 of the family's 1533-position model. The record is from RNAcentral.
UACGUAGGGCGCAAGCGUUGUCCGGAAUUAUUGGGCGUAAAGAGCUCGUAGGCGGCUUGUCACGUCGGGUGUGAAAGCCCGGGGCUUAACCCCGGGUCUGCAUUCGAUACGGGCUAGCUAGAGUGUGGUAGGGGAGAUCGGAAUUCCUUGUGUAGCGGUGAAAUGCGCAGAUAUCAGGAGGAACACCGGUGGCGAAGGCGGAUCUCUGGGCCAUUACUGACGCUGAGGAGCGAAAGCGUGGGGAGCGAACAGG